GAUGAACGCUGGCGGCGUGCCUAAUACAUGCAAGUCGAGCGAACAGACGAGAGUGCUUGCACUCUCUGACGUUAGCGGCGGACGGGAGUGUAACACGUGGGUAACCUACCUAUAAGACUGGGAUCACUUCGGGAAACCGGCGCUAAUACCGGAUAAUAUUUAGCUUCGCAUGACGCAAUAGUGAAAGACGGUUCUGCUGUCACUUAUAGAUGGACCCGCGGUGUAUUAGCUAGUUGGUGAGGUAACGGCUCACCAAGGCAACGAUACAUAGCCGACCUGAGAGGGUGAUCGGCCACACUGGGACUGAGACACGGCCCAGACUCCUACGGGAGGCAGCAGUAGGGAAUCUUCCGCAAUGGGCGAAAGCCUGACGGAGCAAUGCCGCGUGAGUGAUGAAGGUCUUCGGAUCGUAAAACUCUGUUGUAAGGGAAGAACAAGUACGUUAGUAACUAUACAUACCUUGACGGUACCUAAUCAGAAAGCCACGGCUAACUACGUG
RNAcentral lists this ribosomal RNA (499 nucleotides) under uncultured bacterium. RNAcentral's name for it is "partial 16S ribosomal RNA". It matches the Rfam family "Bacterial small subunit ribosomal RNA", at positions 28 to 507 of the family's 1533-position model. The record is from RNAcentral.